Molecule: ribosomal RNA, 858 nt
Filed under: Triticum aestivum (bread wheat)
Lineage: Eukaryota; Viridiplantae; Streptophyta; Magnoliopsida; Poales; Poaceae
Description: partial small subunit ribosomal RNA
Source: RNAcentral
AUGCGUGUGCUCACCAUAUCAGGCAUCUUUGCUGUUGAUGAGGCAGCCUCGCCAGGCAAGGAGAUUGUUUACGGGCUUACCUCAACCACACGCCUACUCGUCGUGUCUUUGAUUAAAUCAAACUUAUUUCCUAUUCUGUCUUUGAUGCUUGAUUCAACUGUCAUUGCCCCCUUUUUGGGCAUGCACUCAUGGUUCCUAGAUGAGCAUUCCAGGUCCCUGUUCAAAAAGGCUCACAGCCUUAACUUUUGGGAGAUGCCUGAGCAGGAUGAUGCUUACAACCAGAUACUCAAUAAUGCAAUGGUUUCGGAUAGUAACUUUCUCACGGACAUCAUCUUAAGGGAGUGUGGUGAUGUAUUUCUUGGCAUAAACUCUCUUAUUGAUGUUGGUGGAGGCCAAGGUGGAGCUGCCAGGGCAAUUGCGAUUGCGUUCCCGCAAAUGAAAUGCACCGUGUUGGAUCUCCCUCAUGUGAUUGCAGAAGCUCCUAGUGAUGUCCAUGUGUCGUUUAUUUCUGGCGAUAUGUUUAAGUACAUUCCGCCAGCAAAUGCUCUUUUCCUAAAGUGGGUUUUUCAUGAUUGGGGUGAUGAAGACUGUGUCAAAUUAUUGAAAAAUUGCAAGGAAGCAAUCCCUCCCAGAGAUGCUGGUGGAAAGGUGAUAAUUGUAGAUAUGGUGGUUGGAUCUGGGCUAAAUGAGAUUGUAACAAGAGAGACACAUGUUUUGUAUGAUCUAUUUAUCAUGUGCGUUGAGGGGAUUGAGCGAGAGGAAUUUGAAUGGAAAAGGAUAUUCAUGGAAGCUGGGUUCGGUGACUACAAGAUUAUAUCAGUGCUGGGAGUUAGAUCUGUUAUUGAGCUCUACCCUUGA